Transfer RNA from Ovis aries (sheep), 57 nucleotides. It matches the Rfam family "tRNA", at positions 8 to 63 of the family's 71-position model. Rfam says of the family: Transfer RNA (tRNA) molecules are approximately 80 nucleotides in length. Their secondary structure includes four short double-helical elements and three loops (D, anti-codon, and T loops). The record is from Rfam. Lineage: Eukaryota; Metazoa; Chordata; Mammalia; Artiodactyla; Bovidae.
UAGCUUAGUUGGUAAAGAAUCUGCCUGCAAUGCAGGAGACUCUGGUUCAAUUCCUGA